Long non-coding RNA from Apis laboriosa (Himalayan honeybee), 251 nucleotides. RefSeq lists it as uncharacterized. The transcript has 2 exons. The record is from RefSeq and is a predicted model, not a curated record. NCBI's taxonomy places the organism in Eukaryota, Metazoa, Arthropoda, Insecta, Hymenoptera, Apidae.
AGUAAGUGAGAAAACUUGGUUUACGAAACCGACGCGAACGAACGGUUCAACGAUAGUCGAGCAAUUCACUAUCUGCUACCACGACCAAUCAUCACCAUUGCUUUCUUGCCAAACUCAAAUGCUCCGCGCUCAAGCAAACACUUGCGUAUAAACUGCGGGCAUAGAUUCGGGCUCUAUGAAAGUGCUCUGCGAAUAAUGUGAAAGUGACAAAAAUGUAAAACAUAUAAAAAAAAAAAAUAAAAAUAAAAAUA